RNAcentral lists this unclassified non-coding RNA (346 nucleotides) under soil metagenome. RNAcentral's name for it is "partial contains 5.8S ribosomal RNA, internal transcribed spacer 2, and large subunit ribosomal RNA". The stretch from base 1 to 121 matches the Rfam family "5.8S ribosomal RNA", at positions 35 to 154 of the family's 154-position model. The record is from RNAcentral.
GAUGAAGAACGCAGUGAAAUGCGAUAAGUAAUGCGAAUUGCAGAAUUUCCGUGAGUCAUCGAGUCUUUGAACGCACAUUGCGCCCCCUGGUAUUCCGGGGGGCAUGCCUGUCCGAGCGUCAUUGCUGCCCUCAAGCACGGCUUGUGUGUUGGGCCUCCGUCCUCCUCCCGGGGGACGGGCCCGAAAGGCAGCGGCGGCACCGCGUCCGGUCCUCGAGCGUAUGGGGCUUCGUCACCCGCUCUUGUAGGCCCGGCCGGCGCUUGCCGACACAUCAAUCUUUUUUCCAGGUUGACCUCGGAUCAGGUAGGGAUACCCGCUGAACUUAAGCAUAUCAAUAAGCGGAGGA